CUAAUACCGGAUAAUCCUUUUCCUCUCAUGAGGAAAAGCUGAAAGUCGGUUUACGCUGACACUUACAGAUGGGCCCGCGGCGCAUUAGCUAGUUGGUGAGGUAACGGCUCACCAAGGCGACGAUGCGUAGCCGACCUGAGAGGGUGAUCGGCCACACUGGGACUGAGACACGGCCMAGACUCCUACGGGAGGCAGCAGUAGGGAAUCUUCCGCAAUGGACGAAAGUCUGACGGAGCAMCGCCGCGUGAGCGAUGAAGGCCUUCGGGUCGUAAAGCUCUGUUGUUAGGGAAGAACAAGUAUCGGAGUAACUGCCGGUACCUUGACGGUACCUAACCAGAAAGCCACGGCUAACUACGUGCCAGCAGCCGCGGUAAUACGUAGGUGGCAAGCGUUGUCCGGAAUUAUUGGGCGUAAAGCGCGCGCAGGCGGUCCUUUAAUUCUGAUGUGAAAGCCCACGGCUCAACCGUGGAGGGUCAUUGGAAACUGGGGGACUUGAGUACAGAAGAGGAAAGCGGAAUUCCACGUGUAGCGGUGAAAUGCGUAGAGAUGUGGAGGAACACCAGUGGCGAAGGCGGCUUUCUGGUCUGUAACUGACGCUGAGGCGCGAAAGCGUGGGGAGCAAACAGGAUUAGAUACCCUGGUAGUCCACGCCGUAAACGAUGAGUGCUAAGUGUUAGAGGGUUUCCGCCCUUUAGUGCUGCAGCUAACGCAUUAAGCACUCCGCCUGGGGAGUACGGCCGCA
Molecule: ribosomal RNA, 742 nt
Filed under: Neobacillus sp.
Lineage: Bacteria; Bacillati; Bacillota; Bacilli; Caryophanales; Bacillaceae
Description: bacterial SSU rRNA
Source: RNAcentral